RNAcentral lists this ribosomal RNA (339 nucleotides) under uncultured soil bacterium. Its description in RNAcentral is "bacterial SSU rRNA". It matches the Rfam family "Bacterial small subunit ribosomal RNA", at positions 26 to 369 of the family's 1533-position model. The record is from RNAcentral.
AGAUUGAACGCUGGCGGCAUGCCUUACACAUGCAAGUCGAACGGCAGCACGGGAGCAAUCCUGGUGGCGAGUGGCGAACGGGUGAGUAACACAUCGGAACGUGCCCAAUCGUGGGGGAUAACUACGCGAAAGCGUAGCUAAUACCGCAUACGAUCUACGGAUGAAAGCAGGGGAUCGCAAGACCUUGCGCGAAUGGAGCGGCCGAUGGCAGAUUAGGUAGUUGGUGAGGUAAAGGCUCACCAAGCCUUCGAUCUGUAGCUGGUCUGAGAGGACGACCAGCCACACUGGGACUGAGACACGGCCCAGACUCCUACGGGAGCAGCAGUGGGGAAUUUGGAC